GACGAACGCUGGCGGCGUGCCUAAUACAUGCAAGUAGAACGCUGAAGGAGGAGCUUGCUCUUCUGGAUGAGUUGCGAACGGGUGAGUAACGCGUAGGUAACCUGCCUGGUAGCGGGGGAUAACUAUUGGAAACGAUAGCUAAUACCGCAUAAGAGUAGAUGUUGCAUGACAUUUACUUAAAAGGUGCAAUUGCAUCACUACCAGAUGGACCUGCGUUGUAUUAGCUAGUUGGUGGGGUAACGGCUUACCAAGGCGACGAUACAUAGCCGACCUGAGAGGGUGAUCGGCCACACUGGGACUGGGACACGGCCCAGACUCCUACGGGAGGCAGCAGUAGGGAAUCUUCGGCAAUGGACGGAAGUCUGACCGAGCAACGCCGCGGGAGGGAAGAAGGUUUUCGGAUCGGAAAGCUCUGUUGUAAGAGAAGAACGAGUGUGAGAGUGGAAAGUUCACACUGUGACGGUAUCUUACCAGAAAGGGACGGCUAACUACGUG
Molecule: ribosomal RNA, 495 nt
Filed under: uncultured bacterium
Lineage: Bacteria
Description: partial 16S ribosomal RNA
Rfam family: Bacterial small subunit ribosomal RNA
Source: RNAcentral